RNAcentral lists this long non-coding RNA (1290 nucleotides) under Gallus gallus (chicken). RNAcentral describes it as "lncRNA (ENSGALG00010026574.1)". The record is from RNAcentral. Lineage: Eukaryota; Metazoa; Chordata; Aves; Galliformes; Phasianidae.
GUACACCGUGGGCAGCAUUGGGGUUUCACUAUGGGCACUAUUGGGGUUACACCAUGGGCAGCACUGGGGUACACUAUGGGCAGAAGUGGGGUUACACUAUGGGCACUAUUGGGGUUACACCAUGGGCAGUAUGGGGUUACACUACGGGCACCAUUGGGGUUACACCAUGGGCAGUAUUGGGGUACAACAUGGGAACUAUUGGGCUACAACAUGAGCAGUAUUGGGGUUACACCAUGGGCAGCAUUGGGGUUUCACUAUGGGCACUAUUGGGGUUACACUACGGGCAGUAGUGGGGUACACCAUGGGAACUAUUGGGGUACACCAUGGGCAGCAUUGGGGUAUCCCAUGGACAGAAGUGGGGUUACACUACGGACACCAUUGGGGUUACACCAUGGGCAUUAUUGGGGUUACAGCAUGGGCAGCACCGGGACCCCCCCCAUAAGCACAGAAGGAGGAGGGGACCGCACUUAUGGGGUGGAGGGGGAACAAAGGGUCUUCCUGGAGAGGCCACACGUUGCUAUUAGGGUGUGUGGGCAGCCCCGGUGCAUGCAGCUCCUGCACGGUGCUGGUGGGUGCAUGGGGUCAGCAGGGUGCACAGUGCAGCAUGCACGACCGGUGUGCAACACGCAUGCUCAGCAUGCAACAUGCAAUGUGCAUAUAGUAUGCAACAUGUGUUGUCAGCAUGCAACGUGCAUAUAAAGCAUGCAGCGCGUGUUCUCAACGUGCAACAUGCAUACAAAGCAUGCAACGUGCUCUAGGCGUGCAACAUGUUAUGUGCCUGCCAGGUGUGCAACAUGCAAGCAAGUGCAAUGUGUGCCCUCCGUGUGCAGCACGGUGCACAGUGGGUGCAUGGUGCUGCGUGGGUGAUGUGUGCACGUUGGUGGUGGUGCACAGAGUUGGUGGGUGCAUGAUUUUGGGUGCUGGAUGGGUGCACAGUGCCACAUGUGUGCAUGGUGUUGGGUGGGCGCACAGCCCUGGAUGGUUGCACGGUGCUGGUUGGGUGCACAGCGUUGGUAGGUGCACGGUGCAGGAUGCAUGCACAGCAUUGCUGGGUGCAGUGUUGGUGGGUGCAUUGGUGCUGGAUGUGUGCACCGUGCUGCUGGGUGCUCAGUGUUGCUGGGUGCGUGGUGCAGGAUGCAUGCACAGCAUUGCUGGGUGUCAUGUUGCUGGGUGCACAGCGUUGAUGUGUGCACAGUGCAGGAUGCAUGCACAGCAUUGGUGGGUGCACAGUGUUGCUGGGUGCACGGUGCAGAAUGCGUGCACAGCAUUGCUGGGUGCAGAGCACUGAUG